CAGCGCCACGAGUGGGAGCCAUUUUUAUUGGGCCUAAAGCGUCCGUAGCUGGUUUAGUAAAUCUUCUGUGAAAUUGUGGGGCUUAACCCUACAGCGUGCAGGAGACACUGCUAGACUCGAGACCGGGAGGAGUCAGAAGUAUUUCUGGGGGAGCGGUAAAAUGCUAUAAUCCCAGGAAGACUACCUGUGGCGAAGGCGUCUGACCAGAACGGUUCUGACAGUGAGGGACGAAAGCUAGGGGAGCAAAACGGAUUAGAGACCCGAGUAGUCC
RNAcentral lists this ribosomal RNA (271 nucleotides) under uncultured archaeon. RNAcentral's name for it is "partial 16S ribosomal RNA". It matches the Rfam family "Archaeal small subunit ribosomal RNA", at positions 477 to 747 of the family's 1478-position model. The record is from RNAcentral.